This 1387-nucleotide ribosomal RNA is filed under the name uncultured bacterium. Its description in RNAcentral is "16S ribosomal RNA". It matches the Rfam family "Bacterial small subunit ribosomal RNA". The record is from RNAcentral.
AGAGUUUGAUCCUGGCUCAGAGUGAACGCUGGCGACGUGGUUAAGACAUGCAAGUCGAGCGGUUGUAGCAAUACAACGAGCGGCAAACGGGUGCGUAACACGUGAGAAACUUGCCUUAAAGUAGGGAAUAGCUCAGGGAAACUUGAAUUAAUACCUUAUGUGGUGGUGGUCGGCAUCGAUCAUUUACUAAAGCUUGUGAUGGCGCUUUAAGAGAGUCUCGCGGCCUAUCAGCUAGUUGGCGGGGUAGUAGCCCACCAAGGCAAAGACGGGUAGCUGGUCUGAGAGGAUGAUCAGCCACAUUGGAACUGAGACACGGUCCAAACACCUACGGGUGGCAGCAGUUUCGAAUCAUUCACAAUGGGGGCAACCCUGAUGGUGCGACGUCGCGUGGAGGAUGACUGUCCUCGGAUUGUAAACUCCUGUCAAAAGGGACUAAUGAUAUGGUUUGUAGCCAUAUUUGAAUUAACCUUUAGAGGAAGCAGUGGCUAACUCUGUGCCAGCAGCCGCGGUAAUACAGAGACUGCAAGCGUUACUCGGAUUCACUGGGCGUAAAGGGAGCGCAGGCGGUUUGGUGUGUCAGGUGUGAAAUUCCGGGGCUUAACUUCGGAGCUGCGCCUGAAACUAUUAGACUAGAGAUUCGGAGGGGUAAGCGGAAUUCUUGGUGGAGCAGUGAAAUGCGUAGAUAUCAAGAGGAACACCAAAGGCGAAGGCAGCUUACUGGCCGACAUCCGACGCUCAGGCUCGAAGGUAUGGGUAGCAAAAGGGAUUAGAUACCCCUGUAGUCCAUACUGUAAACGAUGCAGAACUAAGUCUUGUGGCAUUCGACCGCCUCAGGACAUAAGCGAACGCGAUAAGUCUACCGCCUGAGGACUACGGGUCGCCAAGACUAAAACUCAAAAGGAAUUGACGGGGGCCCGCACAAGCGGUGGAGCAUGUGGCUUAAUUCGAUGCAACGCGAAGAACCUUACCUAGACUUGACAUUGACUUGAAAUACUGAUGAAAGUUAGUAUGUCUUCGGACAAGUUAACAGGUGCUGCAUGGCUGUCGUCAGCUCGUGUCGUGAGAUGUUCGGUUAAGUCCGGCAACGAGCGCAACCCUCGCUUCUAGUUACCAUCAUUUAGUUGGGGACUCUAGAGGGACUACCCCUUUUGGGGAGGAAGGUGGGGAUGACGUCAAGUCAGUAUGGCCCUUACGUCUAGGGCUGCACACGUGCUACAAUGCAUUAUACAAAGGGAUGCAAUAUCGUGAGAUGGAGCCAAUCCUUAAAAUAGUGCCCAGUUCAGAUUGUAGUCUGCAAUUCGACUACAUGAAGUCGGAAUCGCUAGUAAUGGCGCAUCAGCUAUGGCGCCGUGAAUACGUAACCGGGCCUUGCACACACCGCCCGUCA